Cavia porcellus (domestic guinea pig) is the source of this 2699-nucleotide long non-coding RNA. The record is from Ensembl. Lineage: Eukaryota; Metazoa; Chordata; Mammalia; Rodentia; Caviidae.
CGGCACUGGGCCCCGGAGCCCCGGGCCAGUGUCCUGAGGGGCAUUCAGGACCCUUGGCGGGGCCACCCUGCGCAGGCUGCCACUUCAGAGGGUGUGGACGGAGACCCCUUGGGCAGGGCCACUGGGCCCCCGGAGAGCACGUCGGAGGACAGUGACAUCAACAUCACCAGCGAGGACGAGGACUCCCGGGAGCAGCCUGCCCGGGACCCCUGCGGCCCCAGGGAGAAGGACAUUGGUGGCCACGUCCCACAGGCCCUCCCUGAGAGCCAGGCGGUGCCACCAGAGGGCCCCUGCUGCUACAUCUGUGGGUCUGCGCUGUCGCCGGCCUCCCAGCACGAGGUCCACGUGCACAAGCAGGAGCGCCUGCCGCAGGCGCCCUUCUUCCCCUUCCUGUGGCUGCACAGCCCGCCGCCCGGCGCCCGGCCCAUCAGCGAGGCGGGCAGCACGCUCGUGUGUCCCUGCUGCUUCUCGUCCCUCCGGCAGCAGUGGCAGAGCUUCGAGCUGGCCGGGGUGCCCGUGCUGCAGCGCCUCUACGUGGUGCCCCUGAGCAGCCGUGCCCCCGGCAUGGCCUCCAAGGGCAGGCGGCCCCCCAGGGAGGAGGCCACGACCGGCUCCACCCUGCCCGAGGCCUGCUACCUGUGCGGAGAGGACUGCACCCCGGAUGCCCGGGCCGUGCCCUCCCGUGUCCUCAACGGCAGCACGCGUGGCACCAUGCACUUCCCGUUCCUCAGCCUCCUGCCCUGCCCGCCCAACGCCCGCGCCCCCAACAAGCGCUCUGAGGUGCGAAGCUGCCCCAAGUGCUUCAGCGUCCUGGAGGACGUGUGGGCCCUGUACCGGGCCUGCCAGAACCAGGAGCUCAUCACCUCCGUGCAGGGCUUUCUGGGCCGCUACCACCAGGCCUUCGCAGCCUCCGACCCGGCCGUCUGCGACCCGCCUGCCCCGGCCCCCGGUGGCCCGGCCUCCGUGUGCUACAUCUGUGGGGCGGAGCUGGGCCCUGGCAAGGAGUUCCAGCUCAACGUGAACCCCGCCAGUCGCCUGGGCGAGAAGGAGCCCUUCUUCCCCUUCCUGACAGUGUACCCGCCCGCACCACGUGCCAGGCCCGCCGACGCCACCGGCCUGGUGGCCACCUGCGUGCUCUGCUACCAUGACCUCCUGGGCCAGUGGCUACAGCAUGAGGCCCAGGGUGCCCACCACGCUGUCAGUGCCUGGUCCCGGCAGUACCAGGUGGACACCUUCGUGUGCUUCUUCUGCCAGCAGGAAAAGCGGCGCUGUCUGGGGCUGAAGUCCGUGCGGGUAGCCCGCCUGCCCCUCUUCCUCUACACCCUGCGAGCCAGCCACAGCCUGCUGGUGGACGAUGGGCGGCAGCUGAUCAUCGGCGCCUGCCUGGAGUGUGGGACCCUGGUGUGUGCAGGCCAAGGGAUCACUCGCCCCGGGCCCAUGGGGUGGAGCUCCCCAGUGACCACAGCAAGAAAGAGCGGAGUCCCCACCUGGCCAGCUGCUUGGAGAUGACAGCACCUUCUGCCCAGGGUGAUGGGAGUGCGUGGGUGCCCGUGCUCUGGAUGGGGAGACUGAGGCUGCAGGAGGCCUACAGUGGGCCGUGCUGCUGGCAGGUGACGGGCGGGCUGAGCGGUUCUGAAGCCGGACUUCAUCACUGCUCUCCUGAGCCCUGCACAGGGUCGGUGCCAGGCGCUGUGGAAUGGAGCCGAGGUAGCCCUGGAGAGAGCGGGUGACAUUCAGGACUCAGAACGAGGGCCCCAGAAUGCCCCAAUCUGGGCCUCCCCGGUGCCUGCGACCACCCCUGCCCAAACCCAGCCAGGCCACUGACCUUGGGGAGGCCGGACCCAGUCACCAGGGGCAGUGCUGGGGGAGCAGAGCCUCUGUCACCCGUCCCUGGACCCCAGUGCCCGUUGGAGGUGAAGGGGUAUCUGGGAGUAUGGGCACGUGACUUGGGACGGACCCUGUCCCCGGGGGACACCACUGGCCGGCUGGCCCCAUCUGUGGGACUCGGGGCUUGGAGACAGAGCUGCUCUGUGACUGUCGGCUGGUGUCACUGUGACUGUUCACCGCCUUCCUGGGUUGGUCGGGGCCGUUGUACUGGGAGCUGUCCUGGGGACCUCACAGGCAGGGCAGCUGGACCUUGUGGGGGACAGGAACAGCUGGAGGGUCUGCCUCUCAGGUUGGGACAGCUGGGAGCCAGAUUCUGGGGGUCACAGCCCCCACUCGCCCCUCAUCUCCUUAGUGAUCAUGGAGCCGCUUAGAAUGUGUGCCCUCGGGGGGAAGGAGGGACCCCGACACCCAGCGCCAGUGACAGCCCCGCUUUCUCAGCGAGGCUCCGAGCUCUGUGUCUGCCUGCCCGUGAUUCUGUUUGCCCCACGCCGGGCGCAGCCGAGGCCCCUGGGGAUGUGGCUCUGUGCCGGCCCCGUGUGUGCAUCUGUCUCACCAGCCUGAGGGCGCAGCAGCAAGGGUGGCGUUGUUACCCAGGGAUCGCCGGCCGGGAGCCCUGGCCACCAGACUGACCUCUCAGUAAAGAAUAGCCAGUGAUGGGUUAGAACGGCCAACGGCUCUGUGGAUAAGACCCAUUGGAGGGCACAGCGCUGGAGCCCCAAGAUCAAACCAGGCAGCUUUGAAAACAUUGGUGAACCUGCUCCAAGCCAGGGCGCGGUGACACAGGCCGGUGAGCCCAGUACUGUGGGAGGCUG